This 253-nucleotide ribosomal RNA is filed under the name uncultured bacterium. RNAcentral describes it as "partial 16S ribosomal RNA". It matches the Rfam family "Bacterial small subunit ribosomal RNA", at positions 524 to 776 of the family's 1533-position model. The record is from RNAcentral.
UACGUAGGGUGCGAGCGUUGUCCGGAAUUAUUGGGCGUAAAGGGCUCGUAGGCGGUUUGUCGCGUCGGGAGUGAAAACCUUGGGCUUAACUCAGGGCUUGCUUUCGAUACGGGCAGACUAGAGGUAUGCAGGGGAGAACGGAAUUCCUGGUGUAGCGGUGAAAUGCGCAGAUAUCAGGAGGAACACCGGUGGCGAAGGCGGUUCUCUGGGCAUGAUCUGACGCUGAGUAGCGAAAGUGUGGGGAGCGAACAGG